Lolium rigidum is the source of this 1124-nucleotide long non-coding RNA. RefSeq lists it as uncharacterized. The transcript has 2 exons. NCBI's taxonomy places the organism in Eukaryota, Viridiplantae, Streptophyta, Magnoliopsida, Poales, Poaceae. The record is from RefSeq and is a predicted model, not a curated record.
GGUACUCUGAAAAGGUUCAUUUGAAAACCUUCUUCAUGAUCCUCAAAACAACGGUGCUCUAUGGCCAAGAAUCCUCUCCUUUGUAUCAGUAUGUUGAUGGUGCUCUUUUUCUGUUUUGAGGAAGAGAGAGCUUUAUUUCAUAUGAUACUAAAAGUCUUGAAAUCAUCUCAUACAAAAGACUGACACUAUUUAUUUGUACAGGAGCCUGGUGUAAGUAGGAACUGACCAAAACAUUGAUUGUUGAAUAAAGAGCUACCUCAUGUGUGACACGAAUUAACUCUCUCUUCACCUUGGUGACCUUUAUGUCUGAGCGGUAAAUCAACAACUCUUUAAUUUCAUUGAGUAAACCACAAAGUUCAGAUUUGUCUCUUCCUUUGGUGUUCACAGCCUGGACAUCGACUGCAUAAUCACUCUCAAAAUUAAAUGGACCAUGGCACCAGGAGCAGUAAGGUCGAUGCCCUCUUUGAGAGCAUUCAUGCAAUUCACAAAGGUGCAGCCAGCUGAGAAGAUACGCUGCAGUCAAUUUCUUGCCACUACACCGAGGCUGGCUUCCCCAGUUGCUGCAGAAAACACUUCAGGUUAGCCGUUCCUAACACCCCUUGGUUGUGUAGAGUCAGUUAGGGUCAUAGAGAGGCCAACAGGAGAUCUUCUAAGCUUUGUGGAGGUGGCCAACAUAGGGGGCAUCAUUGAGCAGUCUAGCGGCCACAACCAAUGCUCAAAAGCUCCAUCCAAGAAUGCUCAACAUCCUCCAACAGAAUAACAAGUCCACAACUCCAACAACGAGUGAAGAAGAAGAUCAAUACAGUGAUGGUCCUUCGACGAUGAAGCAGACUCCACACCUCAAUUUCUUUAGCAAAGGCCUACAACUCAUCAUACUUUCCUCCGUCAAUGAGGACAAUGACGCCAAGCACUCAUGCCUCAAAGACCAAACAACAGCAGCACUACCAGUCAUACCAUCCUACUAUGCUAUUUCCUCCAGGCAUGUAUUGCCAAAAACAUGUUGUGCUCUAGGUGAAGUAGGACCUGAUGUCUUUUACAUAUACCAUAUGUAAGACGAUGUGAUUAACUAUGUAGUCAGAUCUAAUUAUGCAUUAGUGAAUGCCCUACUUAUCCAAGGGAUCCCA